UAAGGUAUUUCUCGCUACAAUUAAUUGGUGACAACUCUGUUCUGUUCCACUACAGGUAUCUCUUGAUAUUGGACCGCACGAACUGGAAGACCAACAUGCUGACAGCUCUCUUGGUUCCUUACAUUUUCUUCACUCUGCCUAAUGUGCUGUUUUCUCUGAUCAGAGGAGAGGUGGGGAAAUGGAUUGCGAUUAUUGCUGUUAUUCUACGCCUAUUUUUUCCGCGCCACUUCCCAGGUACAUCUCCAGCCUAUUGGUUUCAGCCUAUCAAAUUUCCAGAUAUUGGUUUCACUUACAUUUUAUUAACAUUUUGCGGUUUUGCCCUUCAAAUAAAAUAGCCACGGUUCAUACAUUUUGCUUAGCGACUCUUUAGCAUGGUUUCAUCCUGUGCACCAGAUUGGUUAGAGCUUCCCGGUUCCAUCAUCCUGCUCACAGCGGUCGCCCCAGUCUGUUCGCACACACCUUCAGGGACGACCUCGUCGGUGUCUUCAUAUGCCUUGCGAUCGGAUGCUACCUGCUCCAAGAGCACAUCAGGGCGUCAGAUGGACUCAGGAACGCCUUCAGGAAGGGCAAUGGCGUGUCCAACUCCAUUGGCAUCCUCCUGCUCUUCAUCUACCCUGUCUGGACCGGGGUGCUGCGAAUCCUGUAGGCACUGUUGCCUCCGUGUUCCCGUAUGCUGUCCAGGCAUCCAGCUCCGUUGUCGUUCGUCUCUUGUGCAAAUGUUUCUUCUAUGGUGAUCGUGGUUCUGUGCUAUCGGGAUGGGAUGUAAAUCGAGAUGUUGGCCAUAUUAUCAGGCGUGUAAACCCUUGCCGCUUCUGUUAAGUUGUCGCAAGUUUGAGGAUGGGUGUUUAUAGCAACUACUGUAUAUCAUUUGAUGUUA
Molecule: long non-coding RNA, 877 nt
Organism: Zea mays
Lineage: Eukaryota; Viridiplantae; Streptophyta; Magnoliopsida; Poales; Poaceae
Exons: 2
Source: RefSeq, a predicted model, not a curated record